GCGUAGUGUAGUGGUUAGCACACUCGGCUAACAACCGAAAAGGCCCGGGUUCGAGUCCCGGGAGCGGCG
RNAcentral lists this transfer RNA (69 nucleotides) under Portunus trituberculatus (swimming crab). RNAcentral describes it as "tRNA-Val". The stretch from base 4 to 61 matches the Rfam family "tRNA", at positions 8 to 63 of the family's 71-position model. From Rfam's summary of the family: Transfer RNA (tRNA) molecules are approximately 80 nucleotides in length. Their secondary structure includes four short double-helical elements and three loops (D, anti-codon, and T loops). Further hydrogen bonds mediate the characteristic L-shaped molecular structure. tRNAs have two regions of fundamental functional importance: the anti-codon, which is responsible for specific mRNA codon recognition, and the 3' end, to which the tRNAs corresponding amino acid is attached (by aminoacyl-tRNA synthetases). tRNAs cope with the degeneracy of the genetic code in two manners: having more than one tRNA (with a specific anti-codon) for a particular amino acid; and 'wobble' base-pairing, i.e. permitting non-standard base-pairing at the 3rd anti-codon position. The record is from RNAcentral. Lineage: Eukaryota; Metazoa; Arthropoda; Malacostraca; Decapoda; Portunidae.